RNAcentral lists this ribosomal RNA (993 nucleotides) under Dorcus parallelus. RNAcentral describes it as "partial 16S ribosomal RNA". The stretch from base 420 to 670 matches the Rfam family "Archaeal large subunit ribosomal RNA", at positions 1786 to 2143 of the family's 2987-position model. The record is from RNAcentral. Lineage: Eukaryota; Metazoa; Arthropoda; Insecta; Coleoptera; Lucanidae.
UAAAAAUAUGCUUAAUUUUAAGUUUUCUCGAAUUUAUAAGAGCUAAGAAUUUAUAAAUUUUAAUGUAGAAAAAUUAUUUAAAAUAUUUUCUUUGUAAUUAGACGUUAGUCGUUUUUAAAUAUAUCUAGUUUUUUAAGAAAUUAAUUUAAUUAAAUUGAUUUGAUAGAUUAGUUUUUAUAGAAAAUUAAUCUCGAAAUUAUUAAAUACUUAAGGGGAUAAGCUUUUAAGUAGAAUCCUAAAAAUAUAGUUUAUUAAAAAUUGAAUAGGAAUAGAAGUUUUCAUUUUUGGUAGUGUUUUAUAUCAAGAUUUUUAAAGAAGUGAUUUAUUUUUUUUUAGGUUUUUUAUUAAAAUAUUAAGAAGAAUUAAUAAUUUUAAAUGAUAAUGAUAAAAUAAGUAUAAUGUAUUGUUUAGAAUAUUGAUGAAUAAUAGGUUUAAUUAAGUAAUUCGGCAAAUAAAUUUUCUGCCUGUUUAUUAAAAACAUGGCCUUUUGUGAAUAAUUUAAGGUCUGGCCUGCCCAAUGAUUGUAAUUAAAUGGCCGCGGUACUUUGACCGUGCAAAGGUAGCAUAAUCAUUAGUUUUUUAAUUGAAAGCUGGAAUGAACGGUCAUACAAGAAAAUUACUGUCUCAAUUAAAUGGUUUUAGAAUUUUAUUUUUUAGUGAGAAGGCUAAAAUAUUUUUAGGGGACGAGAAGACCCUAUAGAAUUUUAUAAAUCUCUUUAUAUUGAAGUUUUGGUUUUAUUUUUAUUUAAUUUGGGGAGAUUUAUUUUGUUGGGGUGAUAGAAAAAUUUAAAUAACUUUUUUUAGUUUAAUUCACUUAUUUGUGUGUAUAUGAUCCAUUAAUAGUGAUUAUAAGAUUAAAUUACCUUAGGGAUAACAGCGUUAUUAAUUUGGAGAGUUCUUAUCGAUAAAUUAGUUUGCGACCUCGAUGUUGGAUUAAAAUUAACUUUUGGUGGAGGAGCUAAAAGGUUAAGUCUGUUCGACUUUUAAAAUUUU